Molecule: long non-coding RNA, 326 nt
Filed under: Androctonus crassicauda
Lineage: Eukaryota; Metazoa; Arthropoda; Arachnida; Scorpiones; Buthidae
Source: RNAcentral
AUACGGGUGGCUAACCGGAAUACAACGAAGAUGAUUUUGAGCAAAGUAGGGAAGAGGCCGGCGGUACGUAGGGCCCCUGCCGUAUUUAAUGGUAUUCGAAACGAUAAGGAGAGGAGGACCCACAUGCAGAAAUCGGGCGUUUAUGGUGUCCCGGUUGGCCUGAGGGAGGCCGGCAGGGAUGCGUCAUGCAUGGGGGUCGCUGGGAGAGCACUCGGGCGGAGGGUGGGGGAGCAUAAACAUGAUGUGGCGGUGGGGGUCGCCGCCGCUGCCCUCGCAGAGGCGGCCUAUGCUCAGCAAGUCGAAGUGGACUGGGAGGGAGCAGCGAU